CCAUAGCUGAGGAUCGUGUGUUUUUCUAGAUCUGCAUGGUAAACAUGGAAAAUAUAUUCCAUAUUCCAUCCAUGGACGAGGUGUAUAUUUUUUAAAAGAACAAUAGUUCAAUAAAAUAAAAGAAGUAAUUUAUUAUUCAAUUUAAUAAUAAUAAAAAUUAUAAUUCAAAGGUUUAAAUACAUAAAUUAUUGAUAUUUCAAGUCCUGG
Molecule: long non-coding RNA, 207 nt
Filed under: Elaeis guineensis (African oil palm)
Lineage: Eukaryota; Viridiplantae; Streptophyta; Magnoliopsida; Arecales; Arecaceae
Description: long non-coding RNA (EGUI_LNC038623)
Source: RNAcentral